GGGUGACUUGCUCCUAGCGGGGCAGUAGCUGAGUCAGCCUUGUGCCAGACACUUGAGCAAGAUCUCCAGAUUGAGUGCUGGUCCUGCCGUUCGGAGUUCCGUGAGACAGAGUCACUUCCCCACUGUAGUCUCAGUUACCUCAUCUGCCACGACCAGACUCCUGAACUCUGUGGCACAGGAACUGCCCAGUGGCAGGGGUCGCCUCAGCCCGGCGGCAGGGGCUGCUUCAGGAGUCUGGCUUACUCCGGUGCACAGCAGCUCUCUGAGGCAGGGUGAGCGUUCCAGGAAAGGCAAACAGAGAGCCUGUGUUCGGUACUGGUGCCUCCUGGAGCUACAAGGCUGGCUUUCAACCUGA
Molecule: long non-coding RNA, 355 nt
Filed under: Meriones unguiculatus (Mongolian gerbil)
Lineage: Eukaryota; Metazoa; Chordata; Mammalia; Rodentia; Muridae
Description: lncRNA (ENSMUGG00000020639.1)
Source: RNAcentral